GACGAACGCUGGCGGCGUGCUUAACACAUGCAAGUCGAACGGAAAGGCCCCUUUGGGGGUCCUCGAGUGGCGAACGGGUGCGUAACACGUGAGUAACCUGCCCUUGACUUCGGGAUAACUUCAGGAAACUGGGGCUAAUACCGGAUAGGAAUCCUUGCUGCAUGGUGGGGGUUGGAAAGCUUCGGCGGUUUUGGAUGGACUCGCGGCUUAUUAGCUUGUUGGUGGGGUAGUGGCUUACCAAGGCUUUGACGGGUAGCCGGCCUGAGAGGGCGACCGGCCACAUUGGGACUGAGAUACGGCCCAGACUCCUACGGGAGGAAGCAGGGGGGAAGAUUGCACAAUGGGCGGAAGCCGGAUGCAGCAACGCCGCGGGCGGGAUGACGGCCUUCGGGUUGUAAACCGCUUUCAGCAGGGGCGAAGCUUGUGGUGACGGUACCUGCAGAAGAAGCACCGGCUAACUACGUG
RNAcentral lists this ribosomal RNA (465 nucleotides) under uncultured bacterium. RNAcentral describes it as "partial 16S ribosomal RNA". It matches the Rfam family "Bacterial small subunit ribosomal RNA", at positions 28 to 507 of the family's 1533-position model. The record is from RNAcentral.